Long non-coding RNA from Nerophis ophidion (straightnose pipefish), 143 nucleotides. RefSeq lists it as uncharacterized. The record is from RefSeq and is a predicted model, not a curated record. The transcript is spliced from 2 exons. Lineage: Eukaryota; Metazoa; Chordata; Actinopteri; Syngnathiformes; Syngnathidae.
CCCGCCUCCUACGUUGCAGUUUCCUGCUCCAUGUUCGAAAGUUCACCUGAGAAGUGUGUCCAGUGGUAAUACACUUUCCCACCACUUGUGGCAGUAAUGACAAGAUCAAACUAACAGAAGAAGUCCAAAAGUCAGUGAGAAGU